This 927-nucleotide long non-coding RNA is filed under the name Cyanistes caeruleus (blue tit). RNAcentral describes it as "lncRNA (ENSCCEG00000024240.1)". Lineage: Eukaryota; Metazoa; Chordata; Aves; Passeriformes; Paridae. The record is from RNAcentral.
CUGGAGCUGAGUCAUUUCAUCUGCCUGGCACUGGAACACGCACAGAGCAGCUCUGCAAUGCGGAGCAGGCACAGGGCGAGCGAACAACCUCGAUCUUACAGGAGAAUUUCCCUGUGUGUGGAAAUACAAUGAGCUUCUCCACUCAUCUCAAGAUGCUUUUGUGAGGAUGCACAACUCUCUGGGUGAGAGAAAUACAUUCCUCAUCAAACCUCACCCAGCAGAUCCCAGGGCAAAACCUGAAGCCUUCUCCUCGGUCACACAGCACAGACGGAGCCUCACAGAGCGACCUUGCACAAGAUGUGUUGCUACAAGGAGAAGGGUUUAGAUAUGACCAACAGCUGCCAAAGAAGAAUUUGUCUGGCAUCGAGAAAUGAAGGCAGAGCAGAACAUGUGUCCCUCAAAAGACAAAGUACAUGACCCUGGCAGUAUUUCCACUUGCCCAACCAAGCAAUGGAAAGAAAGAAAUGGCCUCAAAUCCAUUAUUGCUAUACCACACUUCUUCCAAAUGGAAAAGGGGUGCUUCUCUUUACCAUGCACCAAGCCUGGCUUCCAGAAGAGAAUGGAACGAACAGAUUUGGAGAGUUAACACUCAGGCUGACCCAAAACAGUGCCAUGGUUCAUUAGCAAAUUAGAGUUUUAAACCCAACAAUUCCUACAGCAGUAACAGCAGGGCAGGAUAUAUUCUUCUGAGAAGUUUAAAAGAAAAUGCUGCCCAGACUACUGAGAUUGCUGGCCAGACCUAGAGGGCUCUUGUACCAUUGCUAUCAUCUGUGCUGAUGCACACAGUUCUUGUGGCAGAACUUUGUUCAGUAGAGAUAAAACAGGUGUACUCUAUGCCCAGCAUUCAGGUUCCUGAGUGCAUUGCCCUUCUUUUUGUCCCUUGUCUUUGUAAAGCUUUAUAUAAUAAAUUUUGUUGGAUCACUUCCA